GUUGGGUAGGGGAGCGUUCUGUAAGCCGUUGAAGGUGACCUGUGAGGGUUGCUGGAGGUAUCAGAAGUGCGAAUGCUGACAUAAGUAACGAUAAUGCGGGUGAAAAACCCGCACGCCGGAAGACCAAGGGUUCCUGUCCAACGUUAAUCGGGGCAGGGUGAGUCGACCCCUAAGGCGAGGCUGAAAAGCGUAGUCGAUGGGAAACAGGUUAAUAUUCCUGUACUUGGUGUUACUGCGAAGGGGGGACGGAGAAGGCUAGGCUAGCCGGGCGACGGUUGUCCCGGUUUAAGCAUGUAGGCGGAGCGACUUGGUAAAUCCGGUUGCUUAUCAACGCUGAGGUGUGAUGACGAGCCACUACGGUGGUGAAGUAGUUGAUGCCAAGCUUCCAGGAAAAGCCUCUAAGCAUCAGGUAACAUUAAAUCGUACCCCAAACCGACACAGGUGGUCAGGUAGAGAAUACUCAGGCGCUUGAGAGAACUCGGGUGAAGGAACUAGGCAAAAUGGUGCCGUAACUUCGGGAGAAGGCACGCUGGCAUUAGGUAAAGGGACUUGCUCCCGGCGCCGAAGCCAGUCGCAGAUACCAGCUGGCUGCAACUGUUUAAUAAAAACACAGCACUGUGCAAACACGAAAGUGGACGUAUACGGUGUGACGCCUGCCCGGUGCUGGAAGGUUAAUUGAUGGGGUCAGCCGCAAGGCGAAGCUCUUGAUCGAAGCCCCAGUAAACGGCGGCCGUAACUAUAACGGUCCUAAGGUAGCGAAAUUCCUUGUCGGGUAAGUUCCGACCUGCACGAAUGGCGUAAUGAUGGCCAGGCUGUCUCCACCCGAGACUCAGUGAAAUUGAACUCGCUGUGAAGAUGCAGUGUACCCGCGGCAAGACGGAAAGACCCCGUGAACCUUUACUAUAGCUUGACACUGAACAUUGAGCCUUGAUGUGUAGGAUAGGUGGGAGGCAUCGAAGUGUGGACGCCAGUCUGCAUGGAGCCAACCUUGAAAUACCACCCUUUAAUGUUUGAUGUUCUAACUCGGCCCCAUAAUCUGGGGUGAGGACAGUGUCUGGUGGGUAGUUUGACUGGGGCGGUCUCCUCCCAAAGAGUAACGGAGGAGCACGAAGGUUAGCUAAUCACGGUCGGACAUCGUGAGGUUAGUGCAAAGGCAUAAGCUAGCUUGACUGCGAGAGUGACGGCUCGAGCAGGUACGAAAGUAGGUCUUAGUGAUCCGGUGGUUCUGAAUGGAAGGGCCAUCGCUCAACGGAUAAAAGGUACUCCGGGGAUAACAGGCUGAUACCGCCCAAGAGUUCAUAUCGACGGCGGUGUUUGGCACCUCGAUGUCGGCUCAUCACAUCCUGGGGCUGAAGUAGGUCCCAAGGGUAUGGCUGUUCGCCAUUUAAAGUGGUACGCGAGCUGGGUUUAGAACGUCGUGAGACAGUUCGGUCCCUAUCUGCCGUGGGCGUUGGAAGAUUGAGAGGGGCUGCUCCUAGUACGAGAGGACCGGAGUGGACGAAUCACUGGUGUUCGGGUUGUCAUGCCAAUGGCAUUGCCCGGUAGCUAAAUUCGGAAGAGAUAACCGCUGAAAGCAUCUAAGCGGGAAACUUGCCUCGAGAUGAGUCUUCCCUGGGGCUUUAAGCCCCCUGAAGGAACGUUAAAGACUAUGACGUUGAUAGGCUGGGUGUGUAAGUGCAGCGAUGCAUUGAGCUAACCAGUACUAAUGAUCCGUGAGGCUUAACC
RNAcentral lists this ribosomal RNA (1725 nucleotides) under Yersinia enterocolitica subsp. enterocolitica NBRC 105693. Its description in RNAcentral is "bacterial LSU rRNA". It matches the Rfam family "Bacterial large subunit ribosomal RNA", at positions 1223 to 2925 of the family's 2925-position model. The record is from RNAcentral. Lineage: Bacteria; Pseudomonadati; Pseudomonadota; Gammaproteobacteria; Enterobacterales; Yersiniaceae.